RNAcentral lists this long non-coding RNA (1614 nucleotides) under Pongo abelii (Sumatran orangutan). RNAcentral's name for it is "lincRNA". The stretch from base 496 to 600 matches the Rfam family "Maternally expressed 3 conserved region 2". The record is from RNAcentral. Lineage: Eukaryota; Metazoa; Chordata; Mammalia; Primates; Hominidae.
CCUUGGCUCGCUGGCCUUGGCUGCGGCUCCUCGGGAGAGCUGGGGCGCCCACGAGAGGAUCCCUCACCUGGGUCUCUCCUCAGGGAUGACAUCAUCCGUCCACCUCCUUGUCUUCAAGGACCACCUCCUCUCCAUGCCGAGCUGCUGCCAAGGGGCCUGCUGCCCAUCUACACCUCACGAGGGCACUAGGAGCACGGAUUCCUGGAUCCCACCAACAUACAAAGCAGCCACUCACAGACCCCCAGGACCAGGAUGGCAAAGGAUGAAGAGGACCGGAACUGACCUGCCAGCUGUCCCUCUUACCUAAAGACUUAAACCAAUGCCCUAGUGAGGGGGCAUUGGACAUUAAGCCCUGACUUUUGCUAUGCUCAUGCUUUGACUCUAUGAGUACUUUCCUAUAAGUCUUCGCUUGUGUUCACCUGCUAGCAAACUGGAGUGUUUCCCUCCCCAAGGGGGUGUCAGUCUUUGUCGACUGACUCUGUCAUCACCCUUAUGAUGUCCUGAAUGGAAGGAUCCCUUUGGGAAAUUCUCAGGAGGGGGACCUGGGCCAAGGGCUUGACCAGCAUCCUGCUGGCAACUCCAAGGCCCUGGGUGGGCUUCUGGAAUGAGCAUGCUACUGAAUCACCAAAGGCAUGCCCCACCUCUCUGGAGAUCUUCCUAUCCUUUUCUGGGGAAUGGGGUCAAUGGGAGCAACCUCCUAGGGUUGUUGUGAGAAUUAAAUGAGAUAAAAGAGGCCUCAGGCAGGAUCUGGCAUAGAGGAGGUGAUCAGCAAAUGUUUGUUGAAAAGGUUUGACAGGUCAGUCCCUUCCCACCCCUCUUGCUUGUCUUACUCGUCUUAUUUAUUCUCCAACAGCACUCCAGGCAGCCCUUGUCCACGGGCUCUCCUUGCAUCAGGACGAAUAAUUUAUGGUCAGUGAAAAUCCAGGCCCCAGUGAGAUUCGAGUGGGCUGUAAAAUCGAGAGUCCUGCUCCCACAGGUUCCCAGUGCCCCCGACAAGCCCCUGCUGGUGUCUCCAUCUCCUGCCAAGCAUCCUGCAAUGCCGCCUCCUGUGGGCCUGGCCUCAGGGCUAUGGACAGACUCCUGUCCCAUCCCAGAGACCCCUCGUGAUCGUGCCCUGGCACGUGGGCCGCGGCCCAGCUGGGUCGGCUGAAGAACUGCGGAUGGAAGCUGUGGAAGAGGCCCUGAUGGGGCCCACCAUCCCGGACCCGAGUCUUCUUCCUGGAGGGCCUCUCGUCUCCUUCCUGUUUUGGGCGGAAGCCAUCACCUGGAUUCCUACGUGGGAAGGGACCUCGAAUGUGCGACCCCAGCCCCUCUCCAGCUCGAAAUCCCUCCACAGCCACGGGGACGCCCUGCACCUAUUCCCACGGGACAGGCUGGACCCAGAGACUCUGGACCCGGGGCCUCCCCUUGAGUAGAGACCCGCCCUCUGACUGAUGGACGCCGCUGACCUGGGGUCAGACCCGAGGGCUGGACCCCUGCCCACCCCGCAGGAACCCUGAGGCCUAGGGGAGCUGUUGAGCCUUCAGUGUCUGCAUGUGGGAAGUGGGCUCGUUCACCUACCUCACAGGGCUGUUGUGAGGGGCGCUGUGAUGCGGUUCCAAAGCACAGGGCUUG